CAGAGUCCCGGUGGCCGGCGUGCCCCUACGCGCGCGUCCGCCACCGUCCUCACCACCCGUGUCUACCGUACCCCGUUGCUUCGGCGGGCCCGCCGCCCCGCGGCCGCCGGGGGACCCCGUAUCCCCGGGCCAGCGCCCGCCGAAGCCCCCCUGAACGCUGCCCGGAAGUUUGCUGUCUGAGCGUUGGCAAUAAAUCGUUA
This 200-nucleotide unclassified non-coding RNA is filed under the name uncultured Penicillium. RNAcentral's name for it is "sequence contains ITS1". Lineage: Eukaryota; Fungi; Ascomycota; Eurotiomycetes; Eurotiales; Aspergillaceae. The record is from RNAcentral.